GACGAACGCUGGCGGCUUGCUUAACACAUGCAAGUCGAACGGAAAGGCCCUGCUUUUGUGGGGUGCUCGAGUGGCGAACGGGUGAGUAACACGUGAGUAACCUGCCCUUGACUUUGGGAUAACUUCAGGAAACUGGGGCUAAUACCGGAUAGGAGCUCCUGCUGCAUGGUGGGGUUUGGAAAGUUUCGGCGGUUGGGGAUGGACUCGCGGCUUAUCAGCUUGUUGGUGGGGUAGUGGCUUACCAAGGCUUUGACGGGUAGCCGGCCUGAGAGGGUGACCGGACACAUUGGGACUGAGAGACGGCCCAGACUCCUACGGGAGGCAGCAGGGGGGAAUAUUGCACAAUGGGCGGAAGCCUGAUGCAGCAACGCCGCGUGCGGGAUGACGGCCUUCGGGUUGUAAACCGCUUUCGCCUGUGACGAAGCGUGAGUGACGGUAAUGGGUAAAGAAGCACCGGCUAACUACGUG
Molecule: ribosomal RNA, 468 nt
Filed under: uncultured bacterium
Lineage: Bacteria
Description: partial 16S ribosomal RNA
Rfam family: Bacterial small subunit ribosomal RNA
Source: RNAcentral